This 253-nucleotide ribosomal RNA is filed under the name uncultured bacterium. Its description in RNAcentral is "partial 16S ribosomal RNA". It matches the Rfam family "Bacterial small subunit ribosomal RNA", at positions 524 to 776 of the family's 1533-position model. The record is from RNAcentral.
UACGGAGGGUGCAAGCGUUGUUCGGAAUUACUGGGCGUAAAGCGCGUGUAGGCGGUUGGGCAAGUCAGAUGUGAAAGUCUUCCGCUCAACGGGAGAAGGGCAUUUGAAACUACCUGGCUAGAGUACGGGAGAGGAGAGUGGAAUUCCCGGUGUAGAGGUGAAAUUCGUAGAUAUCGGGAGGAACACCAGUGGCGAAGGCGGUUCUCUGGUCCGAUACUGACGCUGAGACGCGAAAGCGUGGGGAGCAAACACG